GACGAACGCUGGCGGCGUGCUUAACACAUGCAAGUCGAGCGGUAAGGCCCUUUCGGGGGUACACGAGCGGCGAACGGGUGAGUAACACGUGGGUGACCUGCCCUCAACUCUGGGAUAAGCCUGGGAAACCGGGUCUAAUACUGGAUAUGACUCCAUGACGCAUGUUGUGGGGUGGAAAGCCUUGUGCGGCUGAGGAUGGGCCCGCGGCCUAUCAGCUUGUUGGUGGGGUGANGGCCUACCAAGGCGACGACGGGUAGCCGGCCUGAGAGGGCGACCGGCCACACUGGGACUGAGACACGGCCCAGACUCCUACGGGAGGCAGCAGUGGGGAAUCUUGCGCAAUGGGCGAAAGCCUGACGCAGCGACGCCGCGUGAGGGAUGACGGCCU
This 388-nucleotide ribosomal RNA is filed under the name uncultured bacterium. RNAcentral describes it as "bacterial SSU rRNA". It matches the Rfam family "Bacterial small subunit ribosomal RNA", at positions 28 to 417 of the family's 1533-position model. The record is from RNAcentral.